RNAcentral lists this ribosomal RNA (253 nucleotides) under uncultured bacterium. Its description in RNAcentral is "partial 16S ribosomal RNA". It matches the Rfam family "Bacterial small subunit ribosomal RNA", at positions 524 to 776 of the family's 1533-position model. The record is from RNAcentral.
UACGGAGGGUCCAAGCGUUAUCCGGAAUCAUUGGGUUUAAAGGGUUCGUAGGCGGUUUUGUAAGUCAGUGGUGAAAGCCCAUCGCUCAACGGUGGAACGGCCAUUGAUACUGCAAGACUUGAAUUAUUAGGAAGUAACUAGAAUAUGUAGUGUAGCGGUGAAAUGCUUAGAGAUUACAUGGAAUACCAAUUGCGAAGGCAGGUUACUACUAAUGGAUUGACGCUGAUGGACGAAAGCGUGGGGAGCGAACAGG